ACCCUCUUAGGGUUACACCUGGAGGGUUUCCAGGACUCUACCAGUCUUGACCUAUGAGAGGGAGAUCAUGCAGAGGCCUACCCAUUCCAUUCCUAGUUUGGCCAGGGGUUAGCGAGUGGAAGGCAAUCUGCUACAAGU
This is a non-coding RNA of Ornithorhynchus anatinus (platypus), 138 nucleotides long. The record is from Rfam. Lineage: Eukaryota; Metazoa; Chordata; Mammalia; Monotremata; Ornithorhynchidae.